UAGUGGCGAACGGGUGAGUAACACGUGGGCAAUCUGCCCUUCACUCUGGGACAAGCCCUGGAAACGGGGUCUAAUACCGGAUAACACUCCUGUCCUCCUGGACGGGGGUUAAAAGCUCCGGCGGUGAAGGAUGAGCCCGCGGCCUAUCAGCUUGUUGGUGAGGUAAUGGCUCACCAAGGCGACGACGGGUAGCCGGCCUGAGAGGGCGACCGGCCACACUGGGACUGAGACACGGCCCAGACUCCUACGGGAGGCAGCAGUGGGGAAUAUUGCACAAUGGGCGAAAGCCUGAUGCAGCGACGCCGCGUGAGGGAUGACGGCCUUCGGGUUGUAAACCUCUUUCAGCAGGGAAGAAGCGAAAGUGACGGUACCUGCAGAAGAAGCGCCGGCUAACUACGUGCCAGCAGCCGCGGUAAUACGUAGGGCGCAAGCGUUGUCCGGAAUUAUUGGGCGUAAAGAGCUCGUAGGCGGCUUGUCACGUCGGGUGUGAAAGCCCGGGGCUUAACCCCGGGUCUGCAUUCGAUACGGGCUAGCUAGAGUGUGGUAGGGGAGAUCGGAUUCCUGGUGACGGNAAAAAGGGGCNAA
RNAcentral lists this ribosomal RNA (585 nucleotides) under Streptomyces sp. 428A11. Its description in RNAcentral is "bacterial SSU rRNA". It matches the Rfam family "Bacterial small subunit ribosomal RNA", at positions 93 to 695 of the family's 1533-position model. Lineage: Bacteria; Bacillati; Actinomycetota; Actinomycetes; Kitasatosporales; Streptomycetaceae. The record is from RNAcentral.